RNAcentral lists this ribosomal RNA (251 nucleotides) under uncultured prokaryote. RNAcentral describes it as "partial 16S rRNA". It matches the Rfam family "Bacterial small subunit ribosomal RNA", at positions 525 to 775 of the family's 1533-position model. The record is from RNAcentral.
ACGGAGACUACGAGCGUUACUCGGAUUCACUGGGCGUAAAGGGUGCGUAGGCGGCCAGGUGUGUUAGGUGUGAAAUCCCGAAGCUUAACUUCGGAAUUGCGCCUAAAACUAUUUGGCUAGAGUAUUGGAGAGGCAAGCGGAAUUCUAGGUGUAGCGGUGAAAUGCGAAGAUAUCUAGAGGAACACCAAAGGCGAAGGCAGCUAACUGGACAAUACCUGACGCUGAGGCACGAAAGCGUGGGGAGCAAAAAG